RNAcentral lists this ribosomal RNA (713 nucleotides) under Escherichia coli. Its description in RNAcentral is "partial 23S ribosomal RNA". It matches the Rfam family "Bacterial large subunit ribosomal RNA", at positions 2235 to 2925 of the family's 2925-position model. Lineage: Bacteria; Pseudomonadati; Pseudomonadota; Gammaproteobacteria; Enterobacterales; Enterobacteriaceae. The record is from RNAcentral.
GUAAUCCGGGUUGCGGACAGUGUCUGGUGGGUAGUUUGACUGGGGCGGUCUCCUCCUAAAGAGUAACGGAGGAGCACGAAGGUUGGCUAAUCCUGGUCGGACAUCAGGAGGUUAGUGCAAUGGCAUAAGCCAGCUUGACUGCGAGCGUGACGGCGCGAGCAGGUGCGAAAGCAGGUCAUAGUGAUCCGGUGGUUCUGAAUGGAAGGGCCAUCGCUCAACGGAUAAAAGGUACUCCGGGGAUAACAGGCUGAUACCGCCCAAGAGUUCAUAUCGACGGCGGUGUUUGGCACCUCGAUGUCGGCUCAUCACAUCCUGGGGCUGAAGUAGGUCCCAAGGGUAUGGCUGUUCGCCAUUUAAAGUGGUACGCGAGCUGGGUUUAGAACGUCGUGAGACAGUUCGGUCCCUAUCUGCCGUGGGCGCUGGAGAACUGAGGGGGGCUGCUCCUAGUACGAGAGGACCGGAGUGGACGCAUCACUGGUGUUCGGGUUGUCAUGCCAAUGGCACUGCCCGGUAGCUAAAUGCGGAAGAGAUAAGUGCUGAAAGCAUCUAAGCACGAAACUUGCCCCGAGAUGAGUUCUCCCUGACUCCUUGAGAGUCCUGAAGGAACGUUGAAGACGACGACGUUGAUAGGCCGGAUGUGUAAGCGCAGCGAUGCGUUGAGCUAACCGGUACUAAUGAACCGUGAGGCUUAACCUUACAACGCCGAAGCUGUU